GUGAACGCCAUCGGCCCGUCAUACCGACGAGUCGCAAACCAGCAAAUAUCCCAACCCAGCGGUACGGUGCCGUGGGAAGCCUCGCCGCUCACGGCGAGGAGGAGGUCACAUGUAGCCGUUC
RNAcentral lists this unclassified non-coding RNA (121 nucleotides) under Natronobacterium gregoryi. Its description in RNAcentral is "HgcC family RNA". The record is from RNAcentral. Lineage: Archaea; Methanobacteriati; Methanobacteriota; Halobacteria; Halobacteriales; Natrialbaceae.